GAUGAACGCUGGCGGCGUGCCUAAUACAUGCAAGUCGAGCGAACGGACGAGAAGCUUGCUUCUCUGAUGUUAGCGGCGGACGGGUGAGUAACACGUGGAUAACCUACCUAUAAGACUGGGAUAACUUCGGGAAACCGGAGCUAAUACCGGAUAAUAUUUUGAACCGCAUGGUUCAAAAGUGAAAGACGGUCUUGCUGUCACUUAUAGAUGGAUCCGCGCUGCAUUAGCUGGUUGGUAAGGUAACGGCUUACCAAGGCAACGAUGCAUAGCCGACCUGAGAGGGUGAUCGGCCACACUGGAACUGAGACACGGUCCAGACUCCUACGGGAGGCAGCAGUAGGGAAUCUUCCGCAAUGGGCGAAAGCCUGACGGAGCAACGCCGCGUGAGUGAUGAAGGUCUUCGGAUCGUAAAACUCUGUUAUUAGGGAAGAACAUAUGUGUAAGUAACUGUGCACAUCUUGACGGUACCUAAUCAGAAAGCCACGGCUAACUACGUGCCAGCAGCCGCGGUAAUACGUAGGUGGCAAGCGUUAUCCGGAAUUAUUGGGCGUAAAGCGCGCGUAGGCGGUUUUUUAAGUCUGAUGUGAAAGCCCACGGCUCAACCGUGGAGGGUCAUUGGAAACUGGAAAACUUGAGUGCAGAAGAGGAAAGUGGAAUUCCAUGUGUAGCGGUGAAAUGCGCAGAGAUAUGGAGGAACACCAGUGGCGAAGGCGACUUUCUGGUCUGUAACUGACGCUGAUGUGCGAAAGCGUGGGGAUCAAACAGGAUUAGAUACCCUGGUAGUCCACGCCGUAAACGAUGAGUGCUAAGUGUUAGGGGGUUUCCGCCCCUUAGUGCUGCAGCUAACGCAUUAAGCACUCCGCCUGGGGAGUACGACCGCAAGGUUGAAACUCAAAGGAAUUGACGGGGACCCGCACAAGCGGUGGAGCAUGUGGUUUAAUUCGAAGCAACGCGAAGAACCUUACCAAAUCUUGACAUCCUUUGACAACUCUAGAGAUAGAGCCUUCCCCUUCGGGGGACAAAGUGACAGGUGGUGCAUGGUUGUCGUCAGCUCGUGUCGUGAGAUGUUGGGUUAAGUCCCGCAACGAGCGCAACCCUUAAGCUUAGUUGCCAUCAUUAAGUUGGGCACUCUAAGUUGACUGCCGGUGACAAACCGGAGGAAGGUGGGGAUGACGUCAAAUCAUCAUGCCCCUUAUGAUUUGGGCUACACACGUGCUACAAUGGACAAUACAAAGGGCAGCGAAACCGCGAGGUCAAGCAAAUCCCAUAAAGUUGUUCUCAGUUCGGAUUGUAGUCUGCAGCUCGACUACAUGAAGCUGGAAUCGCUAGUAAUCGUAGAUCAGCAUGCUACGGUGAAUACGUUCCCGGGUCU
Molecule: ribosomal RNA, 1372 nt
Filed under: uncultured bacterium
Lineage: Bacteria
Description: bacterial SSU rRNA
Rfam family: Bacterial small subunit ribosomal RNA
Source: RNAcentral